Molecule: non-coding RNA, 196 nt
Organism: Oryza nivara
Lineage: Eukaryota; Viridiplantae; Streptophyta; Magnoliopsida; Poales; Poaceae
Source: Rfam
AAAAACUCAAUUCCUAAGGUUUUUUUUCUAACAUGUGACCGUUCAUCUUAUUUAAAAAAAUUUUAAAAGAUAAGUUAUGUAUAAAGUAUUAUUCAUGUUUUAUCAUCUAACAAUAAUGAAAAUACUAAUCAUAAAAAAAUUUCAUAUAAGACGGACGGUCAAAUGUUAGACACGAAAACCGAAGAAUUCAGUCUUU